ACAUCAACAUCUAUAUUUCACAGUCCAUACUAAUUAAGUAUCUUGGUUUAUAUAUAUACACCGACGCAUAUAGAAAUUAGUAGACUAAUAAUAAGCAUCUUUAUAAACACACAGUGUUUGAUAAAUGGCAAAAUUAAAGAUGGCAAACUUGUUCACACUUUUCCUUUUGCUUUCAGUGACGGGUGAAGUGGAUGUGGGUAGAAUGAGAAGUUGUCGCGAUGAUAACUGGCAUGGCUUUAACUGCGAAAUUGAAACUGCUUGCUACGAGCAUUGUAAGAAGUACAAAGGAGAUUCUGUGUUAUUCUCGUCACUUUGUAUAGGCCCUCACAAUUGUAAUUGCCAUUAUUGGUGCCUACCACGAGGGGAGAAAAUAUAAUAAUAAUACCAAAAAUUCUCAAGGGUCA
Arachis ipaensis is the source of this 404-nucleotide non-coding RNA. The record is from RefSeq and is a predicted model, not a curated record. Lineage: Eukaryota; Viridiplantae; Streptophyta; Magnoliopsida; Fabales; Fabaceae.